AAUUAUACGUUUAAGCUGCUUGAAGUUAUGUUUUUAUUUCUAUAAAUUUCUGGAGAUUCCCAUCAAACCGGAAGCAAAAGAGCGCGGUACUUAAAGUUUCUAUAAAAACCAUUUAGAUCGAAAACUAUUCGUUGGCAUGCUAAGCAAGCAGCAGACCGAAGAGGAUGUUAGACAAAUUUUUAAUCCUUUUGGCACUAUAGAGGAGUGCACCAUACUCCGCGGGCCAGACGGAUCGAGCAAGGGUUGCGCCUUCGUCAAAUUCAGUUCGCAACAGGAAGCCCAAUCAGCCAUCACCAAUCUGCACGGAAGUCAGACUAUGCCGG
Long non-coding RNA from Teleopsis dalmanni, 323 nucleotides. RefSeq lists it as uncharacterized. The record is from RefSeq and is a predicted model, not a curated record. The transcript has 3 exons. Lineage: Eukaryota; Metazoa; Arthropoda; Insecta; Diptera; Diopsidae.